UUUUGUUUUUUAAAGAUUUUAUUUAUUUAUUCAUGACAGACACAGAGAGAGAGAGGCAGAGACACAGGCAGAAGCAGGUUCCACACAGGGAGCCCGAUGUGGGACUCGAUCCUGGAUCCCAGGGCCAGGUCCUGUGGCCAAACUGGUUUAUAACAAAGACCACUGCAGCGCGAGGGAGAAAAGGCGGCCUUCGGAUGGGUUUCUCACUCAAGGUGCCGUAUCGGUUGGAUUUGAUGGGGGAAAAUGACCCUUGAUCCCUGCAUCACGCCAUAUACGAAGAUUAAUUAAAAAUGGAUCACGGACCACAAUGUGCAAAGCAAAACCAAAAAAGCUUCUGGAAUAAAAAUGAGACUCCCUUCAAGACACUGUCACUGGCAAAGACUUCUUACAUAGGACAUAGAAGGUGCUCACCAUGAAAGAUUGGACGUCAUUAAAUUUAAGAAUGUGGGGGAUCUCUGGGUGGCUCAGGGGUUGAGCGUCUGCCUUCUGCCCAGGGCAUGAUCCUGGGGUCCCAGGAUUGAGUCCCCCAUCAGGCUUCCUGCAGGGAGCCUGCUUCUCCCUCUGCCUCUCUGGGUGUCUCUCAGGAAUGAAUAAAAUCUUUAAUAAAUAAAUAAAUAAAUUUAAGAAUGUGGGCUCAUCGAGGUGCCAUUGAGAGAGAGAGGGUAGGCCACAACCGGAGACAAUGUCCACGCCAUACAUUUGUGUAUCUUUUUUUUUUUUAAAGACUAUAUUUUUAAGUAAUCUCUAUGCCCAACAUGGGACUUGAACGCAGAACCCCGAGAUCCAAGCGUUGCACACUCUACGGACGGAGCCAGCCAGGGGGCCCCCGUGUCUGAACACAGACACCCACCCAGCCAAGGAGUCCUAUCCAGAACAUAUAAAGAACACCCACAAAGGUAUAGGAAAGAGAUAAACCAAACAUUUUUUGUGGGGUCAGACCCUGGAACGGGCUGUCCGCAGGCCUCUAGGCUCUGGGGGGCCGCGUGCGGAUGUAGAAUCCGUCAGCCUCAUUAAUCACCGGGGAAACAAAGAUCUAAACUGUGACGACGCCAAUGACGUGCAUCCCAUGGCCACCGGGAAAGCUCGAGGUAAGGAGCCCGGCUGCAAUCGGUGUCCUCGGGGCUGCGGACCUGCCGGUCGAUCAGGCGGGCCGUUCCUGUCCCACGGAGCCGGUGUUAGCAUCCCACCCUGUCACAGUUCUGGAGGCUGCAGGUGUGAACUCAGGGCGUCGGCAGGGCCUGUCCCUCGGUCCGUGAGUCCCCCCCGACUCCCUCCCAGCUUCUGGUGGUUGUGACAACCUGCGCCACCCUUUGGCUCACGGUCACAUCACUCCAGUCUCCGCUCCUGUCACCACGUGACCUCUCCUGCAUCUCUGCGCCUCCCCCUCCCCCUGCCCCACUCGGAUGAGGACACUCGUCACCGGUUUUACGGCCCACCCUCAUCAGGGUAGUCUCACCUCAAGAUCACUAACUACACCUUCUCCCAAUUAAAGGCACGUUCAGAGCACGUGGUAGAUGCGUCCUGCGCUGGGGCCACGUUGCUCAGCGAGGCCCAGGCUGGAAACAACCCAAAUGCCCAUCAGUAGGAGAACGGAUAAACAAAUUGUGGUUUCUCCCCUUGAUGGAAUGUCACCGGGUCGUGAAGAGGAACUGCUGACACGCGCAGCCCCGCGGGGGGGACUCACAGGAGCGACGCGGCCAGGAAGGAAGGUGAAGGCAGAGGCACACAGAGCGCAGCUGCGAGCCAGGGAGGUUGAAAACCCGGAGGCCCCAAGGGCCCCCCGGGGGGUGGGACAUCCGUGUUCACCGAGGUGCAGGGUCACAUGGAGACCAAAGCCCCCAGUACAGGUGCCGUCCCCUGAUCCGAACAGGAGCGCCCCCCAGACCCCGGGCGGCAGGGAGGCCUGCUGGCCAGCGGUGCCCACCUCUGGGUCUGAGCAGGGGCGGGGUGGGUGCUGUCAGGGUUCGGGGGAGUCAGCGGCAACGCCCUUGGAAGCAUCGGAGCCGCCGGUGUGAGUGCCCGCCUCGCAGGUGUGUGCGGAGCGUGCCCGGGGGCCAGGGCCAGGGCGGAGUCAAGGCGGGAGGCCAGAGUGCCUGCGUGAACACGUGUGCUCGCAUGUGCAUGUGCGUGAACACACGAACGGGAAGUGAACGUUGGGGAGGGCAAGGGCUGUGGCUACCAGAAAGCUUUCCCUGGGGCACUCCGGGGGCUCAGCGUCGGAGCAUCUGCCCUUAGCUCAGGGCGUGACCCCAGGGUCCUGGGAUCGAGUCCCACGUCGAGCUCCCCGCAGGGAGCCUGCUUCUCCCUCUGCCUGGGUCUCUGUCUCUCUCUGUGUCUCUCAUGAAUAAAUAUAAUCUUUAAAAAAAAAAAAAAAGGAAAAAAACAAGCAAGCUUUCCCUUCUGCGUGCGUGGCUCACAGCAGCGCGUGGGGUGGCGCUGCCCUGGGAGAUGCGUCAGGAAGGAACGGCCCGUCUCCAGAGAGAAAGUCAACUGCCGCCUAAACCCAGUUAAUUGCCCCAGAUUCCAACCUGGUGACCUCCAAAUUCAACCAAGCAUCACAGUGACUGAGACCCCCCCACCUGUCAGAGCAGGGCUGGGGAUCCCCGUCCUCCCCCGACCUCCCCCGACCUCCCGUGACCCACUGGGGUCGCUCCCUCCGCUCAGUGCCGCUGCCGUCCUGUGGGCCCUACCGGGGAGGAGCUCACCUUCUGCCCAGCAUCCAAGGAGCCGGCCUGCCCAGGGCCCACGGGUGGUUGGCGUCCUGGGGCUGCCAUGCAAGUGACCACGCACCAGGUGCUUACUGUGGCACAAACAUACCCUCUCAGCCCCGGAGGCCAGAGGUCCAGGAUGCAGGUGUGGGCAGGGCCGCACUCCCUCAAGGGCUCCAGGGGCACAUCGUUCCUCCCAUCCUCCCCUUUUUGGGGC
Molecule: long non-coding RNA, 2925 nt
Filed under: Canis lupus familiaris (dog)
Lineage: Eukaryota; Metazoa; Chordata; Mammalia; Carnivora; Canidae
Description: lncRNA (ENSCAFG00000058008.1, ENSCAFG00845010811.1)
Source: RNAcentral